AAUUUCCCAGACCAUAAACAAAGAUAAAUCAGAAACAAUAGAAGCAUUGAUAGAAAAUGCAGAUGAUGAAAAGAGCAUUUUGUUGAAUGCCCAAGCAGUUGAGAAUAGCAGUACUGAAGGCAAGGCAACAGAGGCGGGAUCAAAAGGAAAAUGUGA
This is a long non-coding RNA of Mangifera indica (mango), 156 nucleotides long. RefSeq lists it as uncharacterized. The record is from RefSeq and is a predicted model, not a curated record. NCBI's taxonomy places the organism in Eukaryota, Viridiplantae, Streptophyta, Magnoliopsida, Sapindales, Anacardiaceae. The transcript is spliced from 2 exons.